Molecule: transfer RNA, 72 nt
Filed under: Saccharina sp.
Lineage: Eukaryota; Phaeophyceae; Laminariales; Laminariaceae
Description: tRNA-Asn
Source: RNAcentral
UUGAAUGUAUAAUAAAUCGUUAGUUACAACAAACAUAAUUCCUCAGUAGCUCAGUGGUAGAGCAAUCGGCUG